GAAGAAAGCUGGCGGCGUGCUUAACACAUGCAAGUCGAACGGAAAGGCCCUGCUUUUGUGGGGUGCUCGAGUGGCGAACGGGUGAGUAACACGUGAGUAACCUGCCCUUGACUUUGGGAUAACUUCAGGAAACUGGGGCUAAUACCGGAUAGGAGCUCCUGCUGCAUGGUGGGGGUUGGAAAGUUUCGGCGGUUGGGGAUGGACUCGCGGCUUAUCAGCUUGUUGGUGGGGUAGUGGCUUACCAAGGCUUUGACGGGUAGCCGGCCUGAGAGGGUGACCGGCCACAUUGGGACUGAGAUACGGCCCAGACUCCUACGGGAGGCAGCAGUGGGGAAUAUUGCACAAUGGGCGGAAGCCUGAUGCAGCAACGCCGCGUGCGGGAUGACGGCCUUCGGGUUGUAAACCGCUUUCGCCUGUGACGAAGCGUGAGUGACGGUAAUGGGUAAAGAAGCACCGGCUAACUACGUG
This 468-nucleotide ribosomal RNA is filed under the name uncultured bacterium. RNAcentral describes it as "partial 16S ribosomal RNA". It matches the Rfam family "Bacterial small subunit ribosomal RNA", at positions 28 to 507 of the family's 1533-position model. The record is from RNAcentral.